This 1761-nucleotide long non-coding RNA is filed under the name Malus domestica (apple). RNAcentral's name for it is "long non-coding RNA (MDOM_LNC007639)". Lineage: Eukaryota; Viridiplantae; Streptophyta; Magnoliopsida; Rosales; Rosaceae. The record is from RNAcentral.
UUUCUUCCCCAAGUUCAACACAAAAAAAGAAACUUUACGGCAUGUCGGCGGUAGGCUAUGGUUUUGCUGAAUCAUACGUGCAGAGGGACCUCCACAAGAGGAAGCUGAAGAUGGAAAAAGAAGAAAGAGCCAAGCUUGGCAGGCCGGAGUCGGAAUCGGAAAUGGUAAAGUCGUCAAGUGGUUGUUUCUUCUGGCCAGUGUUGAAAAAAGUCCAUCCAACAAUUGUUCCAAGGACUCGUUCAGCUGAAACUGAAGAAGUUAGAACUUUGAACCAUAAAGAUUAAGGAAACUGAAGAAAACAAGACACAGCUAAAGAACGAAGCCCCGGGGAAACACCAAGGCAUAUAGUAGCCAAGGUGUCUGCAACAAAGCUAGCUUUGCGAAACACAUGCAUGAAGGAUGGUGAAGUCCAAUUUCUUGUGUGCUGUAUGAGAGCUUUCGUAAUUCCUCUUUAAUUUGUUUAUUAGUCUAUGAUGAAAUUGUUAUUGUUGGCCUGAAACGCUUUUGUUAGUGAUGCUGCAAUAAAACGCACGAAUGGCGACCUAGCUAUUUCCACGAAAACCCUACAAAUUCAUAUUCGUUAGUGGUACAUCCUCCGUGCACACCUGCGUAUCGAACUAUAAAACGUUUGUCUAGAUGCUCCUUAAAUAUAUAUGGUUAGAGGAAGUUCGUGAUCAACAACAAAAUCAUCAUUAUUACUGCUAGUGUACUGCUAUGGUCGUUGAACGGACCGAAACCAAGAUAAAGAAGCUCGUCAUUGUCUCCUGGAAAAUAUAGCACGCCAUUGAAUGCAACGGAGAGCUCCCCAAGUUCAUCAAAAUCAAAGACCUCCACGCUUAAAUUGAAGGAAUCACAUUUCUCACCAUUCGCAGAUUCAUAGGGAGGAAGAAUUCUCAACACCUUGCAACUACACUCGGCAUCACGUGGUUGUCAUGUCCUUUCCAAUUGUCUUUCUUACAGUUACGGUAUUCGCGAUGAUAAUCCUCGCUUGCGCAGCACUAACCCAAGUCACUAUGCGUUGCAACCACAACUGGCUCUCCUAUCAAAUUGUGGAAGCUGAUAAUUCUUUUGAACACUUGGAGCUGGUAGCUUGGAUGCCCACAGCAUUUUAGGAGGGAGUUCCUCCCCUGUUUGGUUUAUUAGGGUGCGUGCCUUGGGAGCAUUCUUAUAGCUUUGGAUAUGUACAAAACGACCAAGAAAAUAAGAAUCCGCGAUUAGAGUGCGCCAACAUUGGACACAGACUUGCAUUGGAAAACAAAUUUGUUGCUUGGAAGUCGCCAAGGGAUUUCAACCAAUACAACAUCAGCCAAAAUUUAACCUCGUUCGUGGAGAGGCAAACCAAGCAGCACAAAGGCUUGCUCGUGCAGGACUUGGACAGCAACAGAAGGUGUCGUGCAUGGUUCGAGGGACCACCGGAUUUAAUCACACAUAUUUUGUCUGAGGAUAGCUCAAUUCGGUUUGCAUUGCUAUUUGAUUGCAUUUUCUUUUAGGAUAGUUAACUUUCAAGUUGCUUGUGCUCUAUUUCUCUUCAACUAGGCUAAAACCUCUGACAAGAUUUUUAUCGAGGUCUAUUUGUGCACCCUAUCCUCAAAUAUGUACGUAUUCCCUUUUGAAUAUAUUGCAAACAAAAACAAACACUUGAUUAAUUUUCAAACUUUUCAAAAUAAUGUGUAGUGCUCUUGCUCAAGUGUAUGUGCUCAAACUUUUCAAAAUUUUCAAACACAAGAAGAAACUCAAGAUGGAAGAAGAAAGAGGCAAGUC